AUCGAACGCUGGCGGCAGGCCUAACACAUGCAAGUCGAGCGGAUGAAGGCAGCUUGCUUCUGGAUUCAGCGGCGGAAGGGUGUGUAAUGCAUAGGAAUCUGCUUGGUUGUGGGGGAUAAUGUCCGGAAACGGGCGCUAAUACCGCAUACGUCCUGAGGGAGAAAGUGGGGGAUCUUCGGACCUCACGCUCUCAGAUGAGCCUAGGUCGGAGUAGCUAGUUGGUGGGGUAAAGGCCUACCAAGGCGACGAUCCGUAACUGGUCUGAGAGGAUGAUCAGUCACACUGGAACUGAGACACGGUCCAGACUCCUACGGGAGGCAGCAGUGGGGAAUAUUGGACAAUGGGCGAAAGCCUGAUCCAGCCAUGCCGCGUGUGUGAAGAAGGUCUUCGGAUUGUAAAGCACUUUAAGUUGGGAGGAAGGGCAGUAAGUUAAUACCUUGCUGUUUUGACGUUACCAACAGAAUAAGCACCGGCUAACUUCGUG
Molecule: ribosomal RNA, 484 nt
Filed under: uncultured bacterium
Lineage: Bacteria
Description: partial 16S ribosomal RNA
Rfam family: Bacterial small subunit ribosomal RNA
Source: RNAcentral